RNAcentral lists this ribosomal RNA (468 nucleotides) under uncultured bacterium. RNAcentral describes it as "partial 16S ribosomal RNA". It matches the Rfam family "Bacterial small subunit ribosomal RNA", at positions 28 to 507 of the family's 1533-position model. The record is from RNAcentral.
GACGAACGCUGGCGGCGUGCUUAACUCAUGCAAGUCGAACGGAAAGGCCCUGCUUUUGUGGGGUGCUCGAGUGGCGAACGGGUGAGUAACACGUGAGUAACCUGCCCUUGACUUUGGGAUAACUUCAGGAAACUGGGGCUAAUACCGGAUAGGAGCUCCUGCUGCAUGGUGGGGGUUGGAAAGUUUCGGCGGUUGGGGAUGGACUCGCGGCUUAUCAGCUUGUUGGUGGGGUAGUGGCUUACCAAGGCUUUGACGGGUAGCCGGCCUGAGAGGGUGACCGGCCACAUUGGGACUGAGAUACGGCCCAGACUCCUACGGGAGGCAGCAGUGGGGAAUAUUGCACAAUGGGCGGAAGCCUGAUGCAGAAACGCCGCGUGCGGGAUGACGGCCUUCGGGUUGUAAACCGCUUUCGCCUGUGACGAAGCGUGAGUGACGGUAAUGGGUAAAGAAGCACCGGCUAACUACGUG